RNAcentral lists this ribosomal RNA (600 nucleotides) under Anthracocystis elionuri. RNAcentral's name for it is "LSU rRNA". It matches the Rfam family "Eukaryotic large subunit ribosomal RNA", at positions 88 to 668 of the family's 3401-position model. The record is from RNAcentral. Lineage: Eukaryota; Fungi; Basidiomycota; Ustilaginomycetes; Ustilaginales; Ustilaginaceae.
GGCGAGUGAAGAGGGAAGAGCCCAAGAUUGAAAGCUGGCGUCUUCGGCGUCCGCAUUGUAAUCUCAAGAAGUGUUUUCCGCUUCGGACCAUGCCUAAGUCCCUUGGAAAAGGGCAUCAUAGAGGGUGAUAAUCCCGUACAUGGCAUGGAGCGCCCGAGGCUUUGUGAUACGCUUUCUAAGAGUCGAGUUGUUUGGGAAUGCAGCUCAAAAUGGGUGGUAAAUGCCAUCUAAGGCUAAAUAUUGGGGAGAGACCGAUAGCGAACAAGUACAGUGAUGGAAAGAUGAAAAGAACUUUGAAAAGAGAGUUAAACAGUACGUGAAAUUGCCAAAAGGGAAGGGUAGGAGGUCAGAGAUGCGUCUUGGGAUUCAGCCUUGCUUUUGCUUGGUGUUUUUCCCAAGUUGCAGGCCAACGUCGGUUUUGGGCACUGGAGAAGGGUGGAAGGAACGUGGCACCUCUCGGGGUGUGUUAUAGCCUUCUACUGGAUACAGCGACCGAGACCGAGGACAGCAGCGUACUCGCAAGAGCGGGCCUUCGGGCACCUUUACGCUUAGGGCGUUGGCAUAAUGGCCCUCUACCACCCGUCUUGAACACCCGGAACA